Molecule: ribosomal RNA, 253 nt
Filed under: uncultured bacterium
Lineage: Bacteria
Description: partial 16S ribosomal RNA
Rfam family: Bacterial small subunit ribosomal RNA
Source: RNAcentral
UACGUAGGUGGCAAGCGUUGUCCGGAAUUAUUGGGCGUAAAGCGCGCGCAGGUGGUUUCUUAAGUCUGAUGUGAAAGCCCACGGCUCAACCGUGGAGGGUCAUUGGAAACUGGGGAACUUGAGUGCAGAAGAGGAAAGUGGAAUUCCAGGUGUAGCGGUGAAAUGCGUAGAUAUCUGGAGGAACACCGGUGGCGAAGGCGGCAUCCUGGACCAACACUGACGCUGAGGAGCGAAAGCCAGGGGAGCAAACGGG